Molecule: RNA transcript, 1602 nt
Organism: Scaptodrosophila lebanonensis
Lineage: Eukaryota; Metazoa; Arthropoda; Insecta; Diptera; Drosophilidae
Gene: SC35
Gene name: serine/arginine-rich splicing factor 2
Exons: 5
Source: RefSeq, a predicted model, not a curated record
GAUUUUCGUUCGGUGUAGACGUUUGUGGAAGGGCGCUUCAAGUUUACUGUGUAAAAUUGUGUUAACAAAAAGUAGAUAAGCAUAUUAACAAAUACAUUUUAUUGUUAAAAUAUUUCCUAAGCAAUGAGUGCAAGUGGCGGUGGUGGUGCUGGAGGUGGUGCGCGACCUCCACCAAGAAUUGACGGCAUGGUCUCAUUGAAGGUUGAUAAUCUCACAUAUCGGACUACUCCGGAGGACUUGCGUCGCGUUUUCGAACGCUGCGGUGAAGUUGGUGACAUUUACAUACCACGUGAUCGAUAUACACGCGAGAGUCGUGGUUUUGCCUUUGUUCGCUUCUAUGACAAACGCGAUGCUGAGGAUGCACUUGAGGCCAUGGACGGCCGCAUGCUAGACGGGAGGGAGUUACGUGUUCAAAUGGCCCGCUAUGGUCGUCCUUCUUCGCCAACUCGUCGUAAUAGUACCAGUAAUCGUCGUGGUGGUGGAACUGGGGGUGGUGGCGGAGGUGGACGUCGUCGGUCUCGUUCACCCAUGCGUCGUCGAUCGCGUAGUCCGCGUCGUCGUUCGUACUCACCACGCUCUCGCUCCCGAUCCGCUGACAGUCGUUCGCCAGGUCGCCGCAACAAGUUCUCCCCCGUCCGUGGUGACAGCCGAAAUGGCAUUGGAGCCAUUGGGGCCUCACGCAGCCGAAGUCGCUCUUAAUUGCUAUUCGAAUACUUUCCAUAAUAUCUGCCACCCGGACUACUAUGGUGGUGGAUGUUCCAGGCAACAAAACACCCAUCGACUCAGCCAACACUCAUGCUGUACCAGAACAGCAGGCAAUGGUGUGGCGGUUGUUGCAGUCAUGUUCAGGCUUAAAAAUGUAAAUAUUAUGUUGGCGAGUCGUAGGCGAGGGAAAGCGAGCGACGCGCGAGCAGCUGGUUAAAUAAAUUGGGCAUCGAAACAGCGGCAAUUGAACCGAUCAAAGCAGAUUGGAGACACCAGAGCGAGCCUUGCCUGCCGUCCCGGUCGUCGUCGCUGCUGUUGCUACUGCAGUUGUUGCUGUAAUGCUGCAUCUUUACGAGCUGCGCUCGACCUUCUUCAAAUUGUUGAUGAUGCUGCUGUUGCCGCCGCCGCCGCUGAGGUUGCUGCACGACGCCUCGUUAGUUCGCCGCGAUUUUUUUACCUGUACUGCAUAUAUUGCAGUCUGCCAACUUUCUGGUGUUUUUGCCGUUAACUACUUUUUCGUACUUAUUCCUGCCUGCAUGAGCGUUAAUUUCUGUUGGUGUUUUGCUGAGUUGCUGUUUUGGGCGUACUUUUGAAUUUAGCGAACUUUGCAGUUAAAAAAGCGUACGAAUUGACGAUAUCGAAUUACUUGCUGGAUGGAUGUCUUUAAGGACGUUGUGCCCAGAGCUCUGGUAAGCAUUCGAAGUACAAAUUGCUAAUAACAUUUCAGCUCCAUUGCAGCCAAGACAGGUCCACAUCGUUAACACGAAGCCCCAAAUGUAAGUCAGCCGUAAAAUGGAUUAGAAAUUUAAAUUCCUUUUGCAGAUUUUGGUGCUUCAAUAUACAUAGCUUAUAAUGCCAAUCCUUACAUUAAAUAAAGUGAUGAUAAAAACCGCGCAA